This is a long non-coding RNA of Sapajus apella (tufted capuchin), 1376 nucleotides long. RefSeq lists it as uncharacterized. The record is from RefSeq and is a predicted model, not a curated record. Lineage: Eukaryota; Metazoa; Chordata; Mammalia; Primates; Cebidae. The transcript has 2 exons.
AUCCAGGAGGUGGAGGUUGCAGUGAGCUGAGAUCACACUCCUGCCUGGGUGACAGCAAGACGACUCCUCAAAAAAAAACCAAAAAUACGGGCACAUCAGUGGGAGGGAGGCUUGGAGAAUACUUGGUUGGUGUGUGGGCAGGGACUGCCAGAGGGUUAGGUGUGUUGGGUAUAGGUGAUAUGGCUAGAAUUGGGUUUCCUAAGCUGGUGUCUUAGUCCCAUUCUAAUCAUUGUUUGGGCCUGAAUCUCCCUAGCUUCUCUAAGCAUUAGAUGGGCACCCUCACAGGAUUGUUCUGAGAAUGUAAGCACCUAAUCUCAUGGCGUGAGCUAAAUUAUAUCAUAGAUAGUGGUACCAGUUCAUUCCUUCCCCUGAAAUGAUGGGGCUUGGGGACAGGUGCACUGAACUCAUCUUUGUGUAUGAGGGCCACAAGAGAGGCCUGGUUUGAGAACAAUGCUAAGAGAUCAGAUGCCAAGAUUUAUGUUGGGGCUGUAAUACUUCCCAGCUGUUUGACCUUGGGUGAGUCAUUUAACUUCAGCCUCAUGCCAUUUUACAUUUUCUGUGAGGGGUUAGGUUAAUCGGUAUAUAAAGCCACUGAGAAGAGUUGGCAAAACUCUCAGUCAUGGGGAUUUGAUCUUGGUGUGUGUGUGUGUGUCUUGAGGGGUAAGGUGGUGGUGAUUUUGUAACUCCAGCUGGUCUUUUAGUUCCUCGGCUCUCCCUUUAGUCACGGUUCUUUCUAGUGGCUAUACUGGGGUCCCAUGGAUAUUAUCCCUCCAUUGGUUCUGGUUUGGAAGAUAGAAAUCUCGUGUUCAUGGCUUUCACCUGGUUAAUAUUGAGACAAGUUACCACCAAGUUGCAAACUCCAGGACAUUAUUGUCCUUAGCUGCCUGUCCCACCCUCAUGUGUUGUGGAGCCCUGUGUUACGAGUUCCAGUCCUGGAGGCCUGCUUCCUGAGUCUCCCAGCUAGUUGUGACAGGCCUCAAUAUCCCUUGCUCUAACCCAAACAGUCAUGAAUCUGCUUUGGCAGGUGGAUGGAGACUUGGGAACUUCGACUUCACCCACUGAGCCAGGCCCAGGUUAUGGGGCAUUGUGGCUAACCCCACUAGCAUAUUGGAUGACAGCCAGUGUUCUACCAUUCUUACCUGCUUGUCAAGACAAAACCUGCCCAACUGCAUUCCAAGUGUUUUCAAAUUUGGUGGUAAGACCUGACCUGAGGUUGCUUACAACCUUUACUCAGUGGGAAUAUGCAUACAGUUUACUACAGGAAUAUUUGUGUUUGUUUAGAGUAGCUGCCAUGGAUCUGUGGGGGAUGGGUCUUUUCUAAAUUGUUAAAAGCAGUUCAUCCCAUUAUUAAUAAACAUUUCUAAUAUGCUGUGAAA